AGUGAAUAGAUACCCUGGUAGUCCUAGCCGUAAACGAUACUCGCUAGGUGUCGGCCACGGUGCGACCGUUGUCGGUGCCGUAGGGAAAGCCGUGAAGCGAGCCACCUGGGAAGUACGGCCGCAAGGCUGAAACUUAAAGGAAUUGGCGGGGGAGCACCACAACGGGUGGAGCUUGCGGUUUAAAUUGGAUUCAACGCCGGAAAUCUUACCGGGACCGACAGCAAUAUGAAGGCCAGGCUGAAGACUUUGCCGGAUUAGCUGAGAGGUGGUGCAUGGCCGUCGUCAGUUCGUACUGUGAAGCAUCCUGUUAAGUCAGGCAACGAGCGAGACCCACGCCCACAGUUGCCAGCGUACUCUCCGGAGUGACGGGUACACUGUGGGGACCGCCGCUGCUAAAGCGGAGGAAGGAAUGGGCAACGGUAGGUCAGUAUGCCCCGAAUAUCCCGGGCUACACGCGAGCUACAAUGGUUGGUACAAUGGGUAUCUACCCCGAAAGGGGAUGGAAAUCUCCUAAAGCCAAUCUUAGUUCGGAUUGAGGGCUGCAACUCG
RNAcentral lists this ribosomal RNA (549 nucleotides) under uncultured bacterium. RNAcentral's name for it is "bacterial SSU rRNA". It matches the Rfam family "Archaeal small subunit ribosomal RNA", at positions 725 to 1270 of the family's 1478-position model. The record is from RNAcentral.